RNAcentral lists this ribosomal RNA (480 nucleotides) under uncultured bacterium. RNAcentral describes it as "bacterial SSU rRNA". It matches the Rfam family "Bacterial small subunit ribosomal RNA", at positions 27 to 507 of the family's 1533-position model. The record is from RNAcentral.
GGACGAACGCUGGCGGCAUGCUUAACACAUGCAAGUCGAACGAGAAGUCUAGGUGACGGAGAUUUCGGUCAACUGAUCUAGAGGACAGUGGCGGACGGGUGAGUAACGCGUGAGCAACCUGCCCUUCGGAGGGGACAACAGUUGGAAACGACUGCUAAUACCGCAUAACAUAUACUUAAGGCAUCUUAGGUAUAUCAAAGAUUUAUCGCCGAAGGAUGGGCUCGCGUCUGAUUAGCAGUUGGUGNGGUAACGGCUCACCAAGGCGACGAUCAGUAGCCGGACUGAGAGGUUGAACGGCCACAUUGGGACUGAGAUACGGCCCAGACUCCUACGGGAGGCAGCAGUGGGGAAUAUUGGGCAAUGGGGGCAACCCUGACCCAGCAACGCCGCGUGAAGGAAGAAGGCUUUCGGGUUGUAAACUUCUUUGACGAGGGACGAAUAAUGACGGUACCUCGAAAACAAGCCACGGCUAACUACGUG